RNAcentral lists this ribosomal RNA (451 nucleotides) under uncultured bacterium. Its description in RNAcentral is "partial 16S ribosomal RNA". It matches the Rfam family "Bacterial small subunit ribosomal RNA", at positions 354 to 796 of the family's 1533-position model. The record is from RNAcentral.
GUGGGGAAUAUUGCGCAAUGGGGGAAACCCUGACGCAGCGACGCCGUGUGAGGGAAGAAGGCUUUCGGGUCGUAAACCUCUGUCAGAAAGGAAGAACCUCCCAAGUCCGAAUAGGGCUUGGGACUGACGGUACUUUCAAAGGAAGCACCGGCUAACUCCGUGCCAGCAGCCGCGGUAAUACGGAGGGUGCAAGCGUUAAUCGGAAUCACUGGGCGUAAAGCGCGCGUAGGCCGCUUUGUAAGUCGGACGUGAAAGCCCUCGGCUCAACCGGGGAACUGCGUUCGAUACUGCGAGGCUUGAGUCCUGGAGAGGGUGGCGGAAUUCUGGGUGUAGGAGUGAAAUCCGUAGAUAUCCGGAGGAACACCGGUGGCGAAGGCGGCCACCUGGACAGAUACUGACGCUGAGGCGCGAAAGCGUGGGGAGCAAACAGGAUUAGAAACCCGGGUAGUCC